Molecule: ribosomal RNA, 305 nt
Filed under: uncultured bacterium
Lineage: Bacteria
Description: bacterial SSU rRNA
Rfam family: Bacterial small subunit ribosomal RNA
Source: RNAcentral
UCCCUACGGGAGGCAGCAGUGGGGAAUAUUGGGCAAUGGGCGCAAGCCUGACCCAGCAACGCCGCGUGAAGGAAGAAGGCUUUCGGGUUGUAAACUUCUUUUCUUGGGGACGAACAAAUGACGGUACCCGAAGAAUAAGCUCCGGCUAACUACGUGCCAGCAGCCGCGGUAAUACGUAGGGAGCAAGCGUUAUCCGGAUUUACUGGGUGUAAAGGGCGUGUAGGCGGGCAUGCAAGCCAGAAGUGAAAUCUGGGGGCUUAACCCCCAAACUGCUUUUGGAACUGCGUGUCUUGAGUGAUGGAGAG